GACGAGUGGCGGACGGGUGAGUAAUGUCUGGGGAUCUGCCCGAUGGAGGGGGAUAACCACUGGAAACGGUGGCUAAUACCGCAUAACGUCGCAAGACCAAAGUGGGGGACCUUCGGGCCUCACACCAUCGGAUGAACCCAGAUGGGAUUAGCUAGUAGGUGGGGUAACGGCUCACCUAGGCGACGAUCCCUAGCUGGUCUGAGAGGAUGACCAGCCACACUGGAACUGAGACACGGUCCAGACUCCUACGGGAGGCAGCAGUGGGGAAUAUUGCACAAUGGGCGCAAGCCUGAUGCAGCCAUGCCGCGUGUAUGAAGAAGGCCUUCGGGUUGUAAAGUACUUUCAGCGGGGAGGAAGGGAUGAGGCUUAAUACGCCUCGUCAUUGACGUUACCCGCAGAAGAAGCACCGGCUAACUCCGUGCCAGCAGCCGCGGUAAUA
This 439-nucleotide ribosomal RNA is filed under the name Mixta gaviniae. RNAcentral describes it as "bacterial SSU rRNA". It matches the Rfam family "Bacterial small subunit ribosomal RNA", at positions 90 to 525 of the family's 1533-position model. Lineage: Bacteria; Pseudomonadati; Pseudomonadota; Gammaproteobacteria; Enterobacterales; Erwiniaceae. The record is from RNAcentral.